RNAcentral lists this ribosomal RNA (253 nucleotides) under uncultured bacterium. Its description in RNAcentral is "partial 16S ribosomal RNA". It matches the Rfam family "Bacterial small subunit ribosomal RNA", at positions 524 to 776 of the family's 1533-position model. The record is from RNAcentral.
UACAGAGGGCGCAAGCGUUGUUCGGAUUCAUUGGGCGUAAAGGGUGUGUAGGUGGCGCGCUAAGUCGGGCGUGAAAUUUCGGAGCUUAACUCCGAAACUGCAUUCGAUACUGGCGUGCUUGAGGACUGGAGAGGAGACUGGAAUUCAUGGUGUAGCAGUGAAAUGCGUAGAGAUCAUGAGGAAGACCAGUGGCGAAGGCGGGUCUCUGGACAGUUACUGACGCUGAGACACGAAGGCCAGGGGAGCAAACGGG